AUGGCGGCAAAGAAGGAGCUUGCCGGGGAGGAGGCGGAGGCCUUGGGGCAUGGUUGGGGUGCAGGCGGAGCGAGAGGAAGCUGCAGGGGAGCUCGGGGUGCUCGUGCAUUAGCUGCCCGCAUGGCCAGUGGCGGCGAUCGCUGGAGCUCGGCACGGUGGUUGGGAAGAACGGACGACGCCAAUGCCUGCAGGAUACCAACGCGAACCCACCGUGGGAGUCGACAAGGAGAACCGGAGCUUGUCGAAGAUGAAGGAGAACCGGAGCUUGUCGAAGAUGAAGGAGAACCGGAGCUUGUCGAAGAGGAGAACACACGGAGGCAGAGAACUGAGAGAAGAUGA
Molecule: ribosomal RNA, 339 nt
Filed under: Triticum aestivum (bread wheat)
Lineage: Eukaryota; Viridiplantae; Streptophyta; Magnoliopsida; Poales; Poaceae
Description: partial small subunit ribosomal RNA
Source: RNAcentral